Ribosomal RNA from Lepisosteus oculatus (spotted gar), 118 nucleotides. Lineage: Eukaryota; Metazoa; Chordata; Actinopteri; Semionotiformes; Lepisosteidae. The record is from Rfam.
GCCAGCAGCCAUAUCACCCUGCAACUCACAACUGGCAGCCCACUGAAGCUCAGCAGGUGUGAGCCUGGUCAGUACCUGGGUGGGAGACCCCUGGGAAAAACUAAGGUUGCUGCUGGAA